GACUACUGGGGUAUCUAAGCCCAUUCGCUCCCCACGCUUUCGUCCACUGAGUGUCAGAACUGUCCUAGCAAACUGCCUUCGCAUUUGGUGUUCUUGCUGAUAUUAAUGGAUUUAACCCCUACACCAGCAAUUCCGUUUGCCUCUUCCAGUCUCUAGCUUAUCCAUCUCUCCCGCUGACUCGAGGUUGGGCCUCGAGAUUUAACAGGAGAUGCGAUAAACCACCUACGGACGCUUUGCGCCCUCGUAUUCCGGCUGCUGCUGGCACGAGGUUAGCAGCCCCUUAUUCAUCUGGUACCGUCAUGAUUUCGUCCCAGAUAAAAGUAUUUUACACCCCGAAGGGCUUCUUCAUACACGCGGCGUCGCUCCUUCAGGCUUUCGCCCAUUGAGGAAGAUUCUCGACUGCAGCCCCCCGUAGG
RNAcentral lists this ribosomal RNA (416 nucleotides) under uncultured bacterium. Its description in RNAcentral is "partial 16S ribosomal RNA". The record is from RNAcentral.